UCGAGAAUUUUUCUCAAUGGGGGAAACCCUGAAGGAGCGACGCCGCGUGGAGGAUGAAGGUCUUCGGGUUGUAAACUCCUGUCAUUUGGGAACAAGGCGCAUCUAUUAACUGUAGGUGUGUUGAUAGUACCAGAAGAGGAAGAGACGGCUAACUCUGUGCCAGCAGCCGCGGUAAUACAGAGGUCUCAAGCGUUGUUCGGAUUCAUUGGGCGUAAAGGGUGUGUAGGCGGCGCGGUAAGUCGGGUGUGAAAUUUCGGAGCUUAACUCCGAAACUGCAUUCGAUACUGCCGUGCUUGAGGACUGGAGAGGAGACUGGAAUUUACGGUGUAGCAGUGAAAUGCGUAGAUAUCGUAAGGAAGACCAGUGGCGAAGGCGGGUCUCUGGACAGUUCCUGACGCUGAGACACGAAGGCCAGGGGAGCAAACGG
This 427-nucleotide ribosomal RNA is filed under the name uncultured bacterium. RNAcentral describes it as "bacterial SSU rRNA". It matches the Rfam family "Bacterial small subunit ribosomal RNA", at positions 355 to 775 of the family's 1533-position model. The record is from RNAcentral.